AAAAAUCAAUGAAAGAAUAUUUUAAACAUGAAGCUGCAAAUUCUGGGAAAAUAACCUUGGUUCUCAACCUUUAUGUUUAUCAGGAAAGUCUCUCACAUUCCUUGGAUCAGUGUUCUUAUACAGUGGAAGGUUUGGACGGGGUCAUUGAUUCUGAAUACUUUGCAAAAGAUAGUGUAACCCUUGUACGAGGGAUCCUAGAGGAUGUUGUAUAUCGCAGAAAAUCCACUACAUUGUCGGCUUUUACAGAAGAAAUGGGAGAUACACAUGCAGCAAUCUCAAUGACCAAGGUUACUCAAGCAGAAGUUUUCCAUACUAAUAAAUGUCAGGAAGCAAAUGAUUACCACUUCGAGCACCUCUUACAAUUGUAGAGGCCAAAGCACCUGUGGCUGAGAGGAGUUUGUAAGUGGUAGAAGAGGUUCCAGAAAGUUCUGACAAAGACGACCUACAGAGCUGUGCAUGAAUCCUCCCCGCUCUCAUUCACUUUGCCAGUUACGAUAAAUCACAUUUAUAUUCUAUUUUCUUCAGUCAUUAAACAAGUGUUUGUGGAG
This is a long non-coding RNA of Chinchilla lanigera (long-tailed chinchilla), 548 nucleotides long. The record is from Ensembl. Lineage: Eukaryota; Metazoa; Chordata; Mammalia; Rodentia; Chinchillidae.